This 58-nucleotide transfer RNA is filed under the name Romanomermis culicivorax. RNAcentral describes it as "tRNA-Thr". Lineage: Eukaryota; Metazoa; Nematoda; Enoplea; Mermithida; Mermithidae. The record is from RNAcentral.
AAUUACUAACUUCCUGCUGACUAUGUUUUAUUUUGUAAAUAAAAUUACUAAGGAAUUA